This 514-nucleotide ribosomal RNA is filed under the name uncultured bacterium. RNAcentral's name for it is "bacterial SSU rRNA". It matches the Rfam family "Bacterial small subunit ribosomal RNA", at positions 501 to 1016 of the family's 1533-position model. The record is from RNAcentral.
CUACGUGCCAGCAGCCGCGGUAAUACGGAAGGUUCGGGCGUUAUCCGGAUUUAUUGGGUUUAAAGGGAGCGUAGGCCGUGGAUUAAGCGUGUUGUGAAAUGUAGAUGCUCAACAUCUGACUUGCAGCGCGAACUGGUUUACUAGAGUGUGCGCAACGUAGGCGGAAUUCGUCGUGUAGCGGUGAAAUGCUUAGAUAUGACGAAGAACUCCGAUUGCGAAGGCAGCUUACGGGAGCACAACUGACGCUGAAGCUCGAAGGUGCGGGUAUCAAACAGGAUUAGAUACCCUGGUAGUCCGCACAGUAAACGAUGGAUGCCCGCUGUUGGUUCAUUAGGGUCAGCGGCCAAGCGAAAGCAUUAAGCAUCCCACCUGGGGAGUACGCCGGCAACGGUGAAACUCAAAGGAAUUGACGGGGGCCCGCACAAGCGGUGGAGCAUGUGGUUUAAUUCGAAGCAACGCGAAGAACCUUACCAGGUCUUGACAUCCCUCUGACCGCUCUAGAGAUAGAGCUUUC